Molecule: non-coding RNA, 32 nt
Filed under: Mus musculus (house mouse)
Lineage: Eukaryota; Metazoa; Chordata; Mammalia; Rodentia; Muridae
Source: RNAcentral
UAAGAAGCCUUUGUUGGCCAAUGCCUUGCCUU